RNAcentral lists this ribosomal RNA (1550 nucleotides) under uncultured bacterium. RNAcentral's name for it is "partial 16S ribosomal RNA". It matches the Rfam family "Bacterial small subunit ribosomal RNA". The record is from RNAcentral.
GAGUUGAUCCUGGCUCAGAGUGAACGCUAGCGGCGUGGAUUAGGCAUGCAAGUCGAGCGAUUCUUUUGGAAUUGAUUUGAGGUGCUUGCACCAAUCUGAUUUUCCUAUUCGGAAUAGCGGCAAACGGGUGAGUAACACGUAAACAAUUUUCCCUAAAGACAGGCACAGCAUCGCGAAAGCGAUGGUAAUUCCUGAUGUGUCCUUUUAAUCGCAUGGUUGAAAGGGUAAAGGAGGGGACCUUCGGGCCUUCCACUUUUGGAUGAGUUUGCGUCCUAUCAGCUUGUUGGUGGGGUAAUGGCCUACCAAGGCAUUUGACGGGUAGCCGGCCUGAGAGGGUGACCGGCCACACUGGGACUGAGACACUGCCCAGACUCCUACGGGAGGCUGCAGUCGAGAAUCUUUUUCAAUGGACGAAAGUCUGAAAAUGCGACGCCGCGUGCAGGACGAAGGCUUUCGGGUCGUAAACUGCUUUUGUUAGGAAAGAAACCUUAACGGUCAAUAUCCGUUAAGCUGACGGUACCUAACGAAUAAGCCACGGCCAAUUACGUGCCAGCAGCCGCGGUAAUACGUAAGUGGCAAGCGUUACUCGGAAUCAUUGGGUGUAAAGGGCAAGUAGGCGGUCUAUUAAGUGAGGGGUGAAAUCUACCGGCUCAAUCGGUAAAGUGCCUUUCAAACUAGUAGACUUGAGGAUGUAAGGGGGAAAUGGAAUUAGCAGUGUAAGGGUGAAAUCUGUAGAUAUUGCUAAGAACACCCGGCGGCGGAAAGCGAUUUCCUGGUACAAUCCUGACGCCUAAUUUGCGAAAAGCUAGGGUAAGCAAACGGAAAUUAGAAACUUCCCGGUAGUCCUAGCCGUAAACGAUGAGUACUAGGUGUUGGACAUCUGUUCAGUGCCGAAGUUAACGCGUUAAGUACUCCACCUGGGGACUACGGCCGCAAGGGUAAAACUCAAAGGAAUUGACGGGGACCCGCACAAGCGGUGGAACAUGUGGUUUAAUUCGAUGCUACGCGAAGAACCUCACCAAGGCUUGACAUGCUCGUCGUAUUCUCCUUAAAGGGAGAAGUCAGCUAGGCUGGACGAUGCACAGGUGCUGCAUGGCUGUCGUCAGCUCGUGUCGUGAGAUGUUGGGUUAAGUCCCGCAACGAGCGCAACCAUUGCCUUAUGUUGCCAGCACGUAAUGGUGGGAACUCUAAGGAGACCGCCGGUGAUAAACCGGAGGAAGGUGGGGACGACGUCAAGUCAUCAUGGCCCUUAUGGGCAGGGCUACACACGUGCUACAAUGGCCGGUACAGAGGGUCGCCAACCCGCGAGGGGGGGCUAAUCCCAGAAAGCCGGUCGUAGUCCGGAUCGGAGUCUGCAACUCGACUCCAUGAAGUCGGAAUCGCUAGUAAUCGCGAAUCAGCAUUGUCGCGGUGAAUACGUUCCCGGGUCUUGUACACACCGCCCGUCACACCAUGGGAGUUGGUUGCACCAGAAGUAGGUAGUCUAACCUUCGGGAGGACGCUUACCACGGUGUGGCUGAUGACUGGGGUGAAGUCGUAACAAGGUAUCC